CCUACGGGAGGCAGCAGUGGGGAAUAUUGCACAAUGGGCGAAAGCCUGAUGCAGCAACGCCGCGAUUGAUGACGUUCUUCGGGUCGUAAAACUCUGUCCUCAAGGAAGAUAAUGACUCCUCCAGGGAGGAAAGCCCCGGCUAACUACGUGCCAGCAGCGCGGUAAU
RNAcentral lists this ribosomal RNA (166 nucleotides) under uncultured bacterium. Its description in RNAcentral is "partial 16S ribosomal RNA". It matches the Rfam family "Bacterial small subunit ribosomal RNA", at positions 338 to 524 of the family's 1533-position model. The record is from RNAcentral.